RNAcentral lists this ribosomal RNA (468 nucleotides) under uncultured bacterium. Its description in RNAcentral is "partial 16S ribosomal RNA". It matches the Rfam family "Bacterial small subunit ribosomal RNA", at positions 28 to 507 of the family's 1533-position model. The record is from RNAcentral.
GACGAACGCUGGCGGCGUGCUUAACACAUGCAAGUCGAACGGAAAGGCCCUGCUUUUGUGGGGUGCUCGAGUGGCGAACGGGUGAGUAACACGUGUGUAACCUGCCCUUGACUUUGGGAUAACUUCAGGAAACUGGGGCUAAUACCGGAUAGGAGCUCCUGCUGCAUGGUGGGGGUUGGAAAGUUUCGGCGGUUGGGGAUGGACUCGCGGCUUAUCAGCUUGUUGGUGGGGUAGUGGCUUACCAAGGCUUUGACGGGUAGCCGGCCUGAGAGGGUGGCCGGCCACAUUGGGACUGAGAUACGGCCCAGACUCCUACGGGAGGCAGCAGUGGGGAAUAUUGCACAAUGGGCGGAAGCCUGAUGCAGCAACGCCGCGUGCGGGAUGACGGCCUUCGGGUUGUAAACCGCUUUCGCCUGUGACGAAGCGUGAGUGACGGUAAUGGGUAAAGAAGCACCGGCUAACUACGUG